This 499-nucleotide unclassified non-coding RNA is filed under the name uncultured Glomus. RNAcentral describes it as "SSU rRNA". It matches the Rfam family "Eukaryotic small subunit ribosomal RNA", at positions 591 to 1092 of the family's 1831-position model. The record is from RNAcentral. Lineage: Eukaryota; Fungi; Glomeromycota; Glomeromycetes; Glomerales; Glomeraceae.
CCAAUAGCGUAUAUUAAAGUUGUUGCAGUUAAAAAGCUCGUAGUUGAAUUUCGGGAUCAAUUUGUCGGUCGUGCCUCGGUACGUACUGGCAUUAUUGGUUUCUCCCUUCUGACGAACCACGAUGUCAUUAAUUUGGUGUCGCGGGAAAUCAGGACUGUUACUUUGAAAAAAUUAGAGUGUUUAAAGCAAGCUCACGCUUGAAUACAUUAGCAUGGAAUAAUGAAAUAGGACGUUUGAUUCUAUUUUGUUGGUUUCUAGGAUCGACGUAAUGAUUAAUAGGGAUAGUUGGGGGCAUUAGUAUUCAAUUGUCAGAGGUGAAAUUCUUGGAUUUAUGGAAGACUAACUACUGCGAAAGCAUUUGCCAAGGAUGUUUUCAUUAAUCAAGAACGAAAGUUAGGGGAUCGAAGACGAUCAGAUACCGUCGUAGUCUUAACCAUAAACUAUGCCGACUAGGGAUCGGAUGAUGUUAAUUUUUUAAUGACUCAUUCGGCGCCUUACG